RNAcentral lists this ribosomal RNA (497 nucleotides) under uncultured bacterium. RNAcentral describes it as "partial 16S ribosomal RNA". It matches the Rfam family "Bacterial small subunit ribosomal RNA", at positions 28 to 507 of the family's 1533-position model. The record is from RNAcentral.
GAUGAACGCUGGCGGCGUGCCUAAUACAUGCAAGUCGAGCGAACAGACGAGGAGCUUGCUCCUCUGACGUUAGCGGCGGACGGGUGAGUAACACGUGGAUAACCUACCUAUAAGACUGGGAUAACUUCGGGAAACCGGAGCUAAUACCGGAUAAUAUAUUGAACCGCAUGGUUCAAUAGUGAAAGACGGUUUUGCUGUCACUUAUAGAUGGAUCCGCGCUGCAUUAGCUAGUUGGUAAGGUAACGGCUUACCAAGGCAACGAUGCGUAGCCGACCUGAGAGGGUGAUCGGCCACACUGGAACUGGGACGCGGUCCAGACGCCUACGGGAGGGAGCAGUAGGGAAUCUGCCGCAAUGGGCGAAAGCCUGACGGAGCAACGCCGCGUGAGUGAUGAAGGUCUUCGGAUCGGAAAACUCUGUUAUUAGGGAAGAACAAAUGUGUAAGUAACUAUGCACGUCUUGACGGUAACUAAUCAGAAAGCAACGGCUAACUACGUG